GGCGACAGCCAACCAAUCUACUGAGCGUCACACUUUGUUCCCUAGCAGAGACCAUUGUCUGCGCCUUAUCUCCCUGUCUUCAGGAACCAGGAAUGCCAAGAACCAAUCGGACCGAGCAGAACCAGCAGGAACAGUUCAACUGUCACAAACUGCCAUUGCUGCUGCCACCAACCAUCAGGAGCUGCCACGAACCAUCAUCAGGAUCUCUCACCAACUUGCAUCAGGGCAGUCCUGUUAUCCUUUUAUAAGUGACCACUGUGGACGGAGCCUCGAGCAUGACUUCAGCCAAAUCCAGCUUGCCUGUUGGCGCAUUCCUGCACGAGACCUCCAAGCGUCCAUUUUCGUACUCAUUCUCUCCCAACAAUCGAACGAGAUGCAACUCCCAACCAACACAGGCCUGGCUUAUGACUCCAUGUUCGGGGCACAGGAUGAACACCAGAAAGUGGCCACUUGCUGGAACAAAUGUGCGGAAACAAAAAGCGCCCACAGACGUCAACGGGCAAUCAUCUCCUCCCUGUUCAGCUCAACAUGAAGAAGAGCCGGUUAACAUCCACAGAGCUGCUGAACGGGGUGUCGAUCGCCAAUGGAAAAAGCUUCAAUGCAGAUGUCGAGACUCACUAAAGUCAGGAGGAAGGCCAAUCAAUCUGGUGCUCAAGAUGAGAUAUGAAACGUACUUCACUUUUAAGAUUUGAACGAAACUUGAUACUGCAUACUGCAGCAGAAUGGACCAGUUUCAUCGGUUGUUGGUGAAUCAUCGGUGACAGCGCAGAGAGGAGAGAGAUGUGGAUGGAUCUUCGUUUUUCAUUUAUAUAUUGACUGCUUUUCACAUUUACAUGUGGUACAUGCUUGGGAGCCUCAUUGGUAUGCAUUUCUGUCUGCCCUGUCGCUGAUAAUUCGCCAACAAGCGAUGAAACCAGUCUGGCAGCUGAGAGGUGUGUGUAGCAAUGGGAUUCUCAUGUGUGUACUAUUUGGGAAUGUCUUUAUAGCUUCAGAGGAACUCUGGGAAGGGUUUGAAACAGCAAAGGGCUUACCUUGUGUAGGCUUUCUUUUUUGCUUUAAGCAGCUUCUUUGGCUCGAAGAGCAUGCGAAAAGUCGAUUUAUUUAUAUAUUCCUAGCCACCUGCGUUUAAUUGAUCAUGUGAGAGCUAAUUCGUUAUUCCCUCCAUUGACAGGCGAGAGAUGUUGGUGCAUCUUUGUUUUUCAUUUUUAUAUAUCAUUAUCCAAUAUAUGUAUCAAAUAAUUCAUCAUAUGGUGAUUUAUUCUCUAGCAA
RNAcentral lists this long non-coding RNA (1269 nucleotides) under Eptatretus burgeri (inshore hagfish). Its description in RNAcentral is "lncRNA (ENSEBUG00000017173.1)". Lineage: Eukaryota; Metazoa; Chordata; Myxini; Myxiniformes; Myxinidae. The record is from RNAcentral.